CCUACGGGAGGCAGCCGUGAGGAAUAUUGGUCAAUGGCCGGAAGGCUGAACCAGCCAAGCCGCGUGAAGGACGAAGGUGCCAAGCAUUGUAAACUUCUUUUGUCAAGGGACAAAAUCAGGUUCGAGAGCCUGACCGAGGGUACUUGAAGAAAAAGCAUCGGCUAACUCCGUGCCAGCAGCCGCGGUAAUAAGUAGGAUGCGAGCUUUAUCCCGGUUUAUUGGGUUUAACGGGUGCGUAGGCGGACUGUGAAGUCAGCGGUAAAAGCCCGGGGCUCAACCCCGGCGAGCCGGUGAACAUGGCUGUCUUGAGAUGUCGAGAGGUAUGCGGAAUGCGCAGUGUAGCGGUGAAAUGCUUAGAUAUUGCGCAGAACUCCGAUUGCGAAGGCAGCAUACCGGCGGCGAUCUGACGCUGAGGCACGAAAGCGUGGGUAUCGAACAGGAUUAGAUACCCGGGUAGUC
This 459-nucleotide ribosomal RNA is filed under the name uncultured bacterium. Its description in RNAcentral is "partial 16S ribosomal RNA". It matches the Rfam family "Bacterial small subunit ribosomal RNA", at positions 338 to 795 of the family's 1533-position model. The record is from RNAcentral.